GUUAAAAAUCUUGUUAAUAAAUAUUUAGUUGUAGUUUUUUAUAUGUGAAAAAUAAUUUUUAAUUAUAGUAAAGUAAUUUUUAAUGAAAAAAUAUUUAUAACUAUAAAGUAUAAGUACUGUAAAGGAAAGAUUUAUAUAUAAGAAAAUAAAAAGUAUAAAUGAAAUUUAGUACCUUGUGUAUCAGGGAAAAUUUAUAUAAUUAAAAUAAUAUUUAAAUCUCGAAAUAAAAAUAGUUAAUUUUAUAAUAGAGUUUUUGUAGGAUAUAAAUUUUUAAUAUAAAAUUAAAGAUGAAAUGUUAAACGAGUUUUAUAAUAUCUAGUUUUUUGAAAAAUAAAUUUAAUUUGGUUUUUAUAUUUAUAAAAUAUAAAGAGAUAAAAUAGGAAGGAUAAGCUUUUUAUUAUAGAGGAUGAAAUAGUAAAAUAUAAAUAAUAUUAAUGAUCUAAGCUUAAAAAUAGCUAUGUUUAUAAAGUGUUUUAAUUAAUUUUUUUUUAAAAAAGUAAAAAUAUUACUUUUCUUAAAUAUUAAAAAUUUAUUUAAAAUAGGAAAUAAUAAGGAAAAAUGGUUUUAUUAGUAUAAAAUUAAUUGUAAUAACAGAAGGAUAGAAUGUUUUUAAAAUUAUUAAAAGAAAAAUAAUAGAUUAAAGGAAUUCGGCAAAUUUUUUUCUUGCCUGUUUAUCAAAAACAUGUCUAUUUGAAGAUAUAAAAAGUCUGACCUGCCCACUGAUAAAUAAAUGAAUUUAAGGGCCGCGGUAUUAUGACCGUGCAAAGGUAGCAUAGUCAUUAGGUUUUUAAAUGAGAUCUUGAAUGAAUGGUUUGACAAAGGAAAAACUGUCUUUAAAUUAAUAUUUGAAUUUAACUUUUAAGUGAGAAGGCUUAAAAUAUUUUAGAGGGACGAUAAGACCCUAUAAAGCUUUAUAUUGUAAUUAUAUUUAAUUAAAUUUAUCUUACAUAAAAGUUUGGUAUAAUUAUUUAUUUUGUUGGGGAGACAUUAGUAAAAAUUUUAUUAACUGCUUGAGAAGAAAACAUAUAUUAAUGGAAAAUUACAGAUCCUAAAUAUAGAUUUAAAGAUUAAGUUACUUUAGGGAUAACAGUGUUAUUUUUUUUGAGAGUUCUUAUCGAAAAAGAAGUUUGCAACCUCGAUGUUGAAUUAAAUUGUCUAUAUAAUGCAGUUGUUAUAAAAGAUGGUCUGUUCGACCUUUAAUUUUUU
Molecule: ribosomal RNA, 1206 nt
Filed under: Spiralothelphusa sp. FB-1
Lineage: Eukaryota; Metazoa; Arthropoda; Malacostraca; Decapoda; Parathelphusidae
Description: partial 16S ribosomal RNA
Source: RNAcentral